This is a long non-coding RNA of Anguilla rostrata (American eel), 3008 nucleotides long. RefSeq lists it as uncharacterized. The record is from RefSeq and is a predicted model, not a curated record. The transcript has 4 exons. Lineage: Eukaryota; Metazoa; Chordata; Actinopteri; Anguilliformes; Anguillidae.
UGUACAAUUGAUGUUUUGCAAAUUCAUUCAAUCAAUAAAUAGUUAUUCAUUUGAGUUGUGGAAUGCAAAAGGUUUUAGCUAGUUGCAUGUAGCAAUAGCCUAUACGUGACAGAGUAUGUCUACAUCAAAUGGAUAUGCACAAUAUUCUAAAUUGUGCUAAAUGAAUGUGCUACUGUUUAUUUAGCGUUCUUUAGACUUGUGUUGUAACCACGGUUACUGUAACUUGUGACUGAAGCUAGUGUUGUGACGUCAUACACCGACCCUUUAUUCCGAAGAUAAUAAGAACCUUGCAGUUGAUUGUUAUUUUCAAACUCGAAAUCACUUCACUAAAUCGAUUUGAUAACCUAUGCCCGGGCGGUUAAAUUUUUGAUGACAUACUAUUUAAAAAUUUAGAGCAAUAGAAAAGACACAUACUGCGCUGGUCUUGAAGACUGCUUGCCACACUGCCGAAAUAGCCUCGAAGCGACUAACUACGGGGGCAACCGAGAUGAAGCUCAAGCAGAAGGAGAGCAGCAGGAGACAACAGGAUGGACCUAAGGGAACAUUGACAGCAUAUGGACACAAUUUCAUCCUAGAAUUCUUAAGCCUCUACUCAAAACAUGAGGAAAUCCAAAUAUAUUUGGAUGAGGUAAUGGCAGUACAUCAAAUCAUAUCCUGAUAUUAUUAAUGCACUGUUACAACUGGUUUGCUCUUUAAAACUUUGUACUCUCUAAAUAGUUUUUUUGUGUAUAGUUUGCUAAAAUAAUUUUGGAAAGGUUUUGUACUCAGUCCACCAAGGUAGAACACAAAUGAAUUGUUUUUGAUCCCAAAUGUAGAAUGAAAAUGGAAAAAUAAUCUCUUUGAAUGUGUAUAAUACUGCAUCAUUUUUUUUCUUUAACUUCACUGCAUUUUAUUUUUGGGAUACAUUCAUAAACCAGAACAUAAGCCUUGGCAUUUCUUCACAAAAGAAGAGCUUCAUCAGCUGAAGAAAAUUUUUCCAAAUCCUUUCCUGAAGUACAGAACCCAUCUGCCCCAUCGAACACCUUUUUCGAUUCUGCUGGAUGCGGUAAGUAUGGAGACAAAAAAACAAACCCAUGAACCCAUAUUGGUUUUUCAUAGGAACAUUUUUAAGAACAAAACUAAGAAUAAUUUAAGAAAGGUUUUUUGAAUGAGGCCCAAUGUUUAGAAACACUUAAUAUUGUAAAUAUUUUCAUAUUUACAUACCAAUUUCAAAUAAAUAUUUAGAAAUGACAUGAACGUAAAUGUAUAAUUACCAAUAAGAGAACGUUGUGCUAUAUGACAUUUAAAAAUAUAUAUUAACCAUGUUAUUGUGAUUUAUGACCUUUGAAACCCUUACCGCAUUGUCCCUAAAAUUCACAUUUGGAGGUCCAAUCUUUCAGGCUGUCAGCAUUAAUGGUAGUAGGAAUGAACAGGGUGUGCUGGCGUGUCUUGCUAACUUCAUGGGAAAAGUGCAGCUGGAAAACUCUGGCCCACGAAAGAGAAACUGGUAUACGCUGGAGGCCACCGUCGUCUGUAUCUGUGAGCAUAAGGAAGCAGGAGAAGAUUAUCCAAUUAAAUACUAUGGGGCGUCUUUGUCCUGCAAAGGCCAACACACAAAAGAAAUCAUGAUCGCUCUGUCUUGUCUGCACACAUGGCAUGACUACAUCUCCCAUGCAGUCAUGUCAGGUGACGAGGGCGCCACAGUACGAUUCCCAGAGUCCGUGAAAUGCACGGCUUUCAAAAGGAACUGGGAACAGAAUGUUUAUUACAAAGUGGGGCCCUGCGAUAAGUGCAAUGGCACUUUCCUUGGGGUCUCCUUUGUCCCAGAGCAUAAACCAGAUGGAAAAGAGCCGGUUUGGCCACGUGGCAACUGCGCUGAGACAGAAUGUCUAAGUAAACUCCUUAAAAGUAAUCCAAAGGUCUGUCAUGAAACAAGAGCUUUGCAAAAUAACACGCCAGUAGAUAUUGAUCUGGACACUAUCAAAGACAAGGCAAGAGACACACUGAGUACACUUUUAAAGGGAAAAGACUGUGUGAUCAAUAGAAAUGAUUUUGUUUUCUAUCAGCCCUCUUCCAGUGCACAGUAGGAGUGUUACACCUUUGUUGGGCUCUUGUGUUUUGCUGGUACUGUUGUUUUAUCUGGAUUUUAACACUCCCUUCUCUCCCCACUCUUAACCUGCACUCAAGUGUGUUUUUCAGGGAGAAGAUUUGCUGUCUGGGCCACAUGAUGUGAAUCCAUAGAAAACGUAUUGUAGAGCCUAGAAAAACCCUAACACAAAUGUGGUAUGUCCCAACCACUCACACAAAUUUGGAGCCUCAGGUUUGUUUGGGUAACCAGAUCUUUAUGACAUCUUCAAAAAUUCUUCAGUACCUGUGAGAUUCAAGCCAGGGCAAAAUGGGGUAGGGGCCCUGUCAACUCAGAGGUGUGUGUGUUCUGUAUGUGUGUCUGAGUGUGUUGCCCUGAAAAUAUAACUGCAUAGCUGUUGCAUUCUAAUUUUAUAAUUUUACAAAUGAGAAUACGAUAUUGAAUGUUUUUUUAUCUUUAUGUUGUAAAGUUGCUUAUUUAAAUAUUUCAUCUGUAAUCUUACUGAUGGUAGUUCAAGUUAGCUGUAGUUUCAUGAUUUGUGGAUUUCCUUGGUUGCACGUUUUCCCAACAAUUUGCUCUUUCAUUUGAGCACCUUAAACGGGACUGGUGGAGUACUUCCAGCAGUUGUAUUCCAGUACAAGGUAAAUGUGGACAAAAUGUUGGUGUCUGUUGAGUUCUCUUGAACCCUGAACAGGACAAAGAUGAACAUGGCAGCCUGAGCACUGACCAGGAUUCUGGAGUCUUCGCCAGUAACAAGUAACGCAUGAGAGAAGAUGAACCGUUUCGGGAGCUUGUUCAGGCGGUUGCAUGACCAGGCCUGUUACCAGUCAGUGGACAAGGUGGUAGGACUGGUGCUGUAUGAACUGCAAAUGAGCUGGUAUCCAUAUCAGGCAUUUUGGCAACCCAGACAGAAAUGGGUAUCUUAAACAAUAACAUAGUUUUC